Molecule: ribosomal RNA, 120 nt
Filed under: uncultured bacterium
Lineage: Bacteria
Description: partial 16S ribosomal RNA
Rfam family: Bacterial small subunit ribosomal RNA
Source: RNAcentral
AACGAACGCUGGCGGCGUGGAUAAGACAUGCAAGUCGAACGGGACUUUUCCGAGUAGCAAUACCUGGGAAAGUUUAGUGGCGAACGGGUGCGUAACACGUGGGCAAUCUGCCGAGAAGUG